UUUUCACUAGCCACUUUCUUCAAAAAGGAGGAGAUCUUGCAAGUACCAAAGGAAAGUAGAAAGGUUUCAAGAAUAAUUAAAGCCAGUCAAACUUUUGACUGUUGAUUUUUGUGUAAUCAAGAGUUUAGAGAAGAAGUUGCAGGUACAAGUUCUUGAUGUGCAUGGAAAUCAUAAGCAUCCGGAUGGGAGUUUUAGUACACGAGUACUUUCUUAUUUAAGUUAUCUUGAAUUUUAUAUUUGACUUUACUUGACCAAUGGGGUCAAGGUUUGACUUUUGAAUAUGGGACUAGUAUGGGAUAGUCUCGGAGUUUGUAAUUCAUUUACAUACUUUCUUAUUUCUAUUGUAUUAAAGUAUUUCCAGUUUAUUUUAAAAGACUUCCGCUGUAUUA
Long non-coding RNA from Beta vulgaris subsp. vulgaris (sugar beet), 389 nucleotides. RefSeq lists it as uncharacterized. Lineage: Eukaryota; Viridiplantae; Streptophyta; Magnoliopsida; Caryophyllales; Amaranthaceae. The transcript has 4 exons. The record is from RefSeq and is a predicted model, not a curated record.